CAAGUCUUCGAUCUUCUUCUUGCAAGAAAGUGGCCAUCAACUUCACUAUGCCUGAGGUCAGUUCACUACCCUUCUUUUCUGCACCUUUACCGUACUCCUGUUCAUCCGCGAUUUUCUUUACUGAAUACUCCUUUUUCUUUUUUGUUCUUUCUUUUAUCCCUACAAACCUUUAGGAUCUGGCCGAUAAGAUCAUUAUUCCUACCGAUCAACCUCACCUCCAAUGUCUUGGCCCACUAGGAAACACAGAUCCCACCGAUCUGAUAAAGGCAGAG
Molecule: long non-coding RNA, 272 nt
Filed under: Sorghum bicolor (sorghum)
Lineage: Eukaryota; Viridiplantae; Streptophyta; Magnoliopsida; Poales; Poaceae
Description: long non-coding RNA (SBIC_LNC017688)
Source: RNAcentral